GUGCAGCAGUCGCGAAACCUCCGCAAUGCUCGAAAGAGCGACGGGGGACUCCAAGUGCCUACGCUUUGCGUAGGCUUUUCCCAAGCCUAAAAGCUUGGGGAAUAAGGGCUGGGUAAGACGGGUGCCAGCCGCCGCGGUAAUACCCGCAGCCCGAGUGGUGGCCGCUUUUAUUGGGCCUAAAGCGUCCGUAGCCGGUCUGGUAAAUGCCUGGGUAAAUCGUCUGGCUCAACCAGACGAAUUCCGGGUAGACUGCCAGACUAGGGACCGGAGGAAGGAGAGGGUACUCCGGGGGUAGGGGUGAAAUCCUGUAAUCCUCGGAGGACCACCGGUGGCGAAGGCGCUCUCCUAGGACGGGUCCGACGGUGAGGGACGAAAGCCAGGGGAGCAAACCGGAUUAGAUACCCCGGUAGU
RNAcentral lists this ribosomal RNA (411 nucleotides) under uncultured microorganism. RNAcentral describes it as "bacterial SSU rRNA". It matches the Rfam family "Archaeal small subunit ribosomal RNA", at positions 330 to 745 of the family's 1478-position model. The record is from RNAcentral.